AUACAGAGGGUGCAAGCAUUGCCCGGAAUCACUGGGUGUAAAGGGUGCGUAGGCGGGGCUGUAAGUCAGAGGUGAAAGCCCUCGGCUCAACCGGGGAGUUGCCUCUGAUACUGCAGCUCUUGAGUCCCGGAGAGGCCGCUGGAAUUCCUGGUGUAGCGGUGAAAUGCGUAGAUAUCAGGAGGAACACCGGAGGCGAAGGCGGGCGGCUGGACGGGGACUGACGCUGAGGCACGAAAGCGUGGGGAGCAAACAGGAUUAGAAACCCUAGUAGUCC
This 274-nucleotide ribosomal RNA is filed under the name uncultured bacterium. RNAcentral describes it as "partial 16S ribosomal RNA". It matches the Rfam family "Bacterial small subunit ribosomal RNA", at positions 523 to 796 of the family's 1533-position model. The record is from RNAcentral.